AACGAACGCUGGCGGCGUGCUUAACACAUGCAAGUCGAGCGCGAAAGGGGGUUCGCCCCUGAGUAGAGCGGCAGACGGGUGAGUAACACGUGGAUAACCUACCCCGAAGCGGGGGAUAACCACUCGAAAGGGUGGCUAAUACCGCAUAAGACCACGUCCUUGCGGGGAUGCGGUCAAAGGCUUCGGCCACUUUGGGAGGGGCCCGCGUCCGAGUAGCUAGUUGGUGAGGUAAUGGCUAACCAAGGCGACGAUCGGUAGCUGGUCUGAGAGGAUGAGCAGCCAAACUUGUACUUAGACACGGACUAGACUCCUACGGGAGGCAGCAGUGGGGAAUAUUGCGCAAGGGGCGAAAGCCUGACGCAGCAACUCCGCGUGGGUGAAGAAGGCCUUCGGGUCGUAAAGCCCUGUCAGAUGGGAAGAAACCUGGGUAACCAGCUGACGGUACCAUCAGAGGAAGCACCGGCUAACUCCGUGCCAGCAGCCGCCGUAA
RNAcentral lists this ribosomal RNA (490 nucleotides) under uncultured bacterium. Its description in RNAcentral is "partial 16S ribosomal RNA". It matches the Rfam family "Bacterial small subunit ribosomal RNA", at positions 29 to 523 of the family's 1533-position model. The record is from RNAcentral.